AACCUCAGUAUGUUUGAAGUUUGAAUAUUUGUAUUUUUUAUUUAUGUGGUGAAAUGUAAUUGUAUUUUAUUAUUAGAACAGAUUUGUUUUGUUCAAUUAUGUUAAACAAAAAUUUCAUGCUAGCAAAGGUUAUGGAUGAAAAACUGUUUACAAAUAUGUUUUCUAUUGAAAAAAAGGCAUGAUAAAUCAAUGUAGAAAUGUUUGUAUAAACAUUAAACAAUCCAAGUUGAUAUAUUGCUGUUGACAGAUUACUAUAAGAUUUGCACAAAAAUUAGACAAAAUGUCUUGUAAACAUUAAUAUAUUCAAAACUGUUUUAAAAGGGGAUUAUGCUUAUCUCUAUUCUCAUCAGUGAAGAAAUCACUGUUUGCUGACUAUGCAGUGUGUGCCAUGUGCCUAAAAUUGGCAAACCACACACAUCAACUGGUCAGUUGUAGUAAGUCACUUUUUUGACAUUUUGCUCGUGGUAUUAUGUGCGGUAUGAUACAUCUGCUGUACCGGCAUUUGUAAGUAGAGUUUUCUACUGUUUGACAUGUGUUCUAAAUCCUAUUGUUACAAAUAGUGUUUAUUUUAUUUUUCAUUAUUCUUUUGUGUUUAUAAAAUCAAAAGAUUCAUAAAUUGUCGAUUAUUCCAAUCAAAUUUCUAUUUCAGAUUCUGGUUAUCAUAAGUCCUUCUCAGCCUUGUUGUUAGACCAUUGUCACAUGUAAAACAUUGGAAAAAAAUUUCAAAUCAAAUAUAAUUAUAUUCCAUUAUUGUUGUUGCUGUAAAUUUGUAAAUUUUGUGAUAAUGGUGGCAUAACAGUAUCAACUUAAUGCUUUCCACCUGUAAUAAACAAUGUCUUUAAUCACUUGUUGAAUUUUAAUCAUGAGUUUUGAUGAUUGAAAUUGUACAAAAUAUUCAAGAAUUUUCAAUAGUAAAAUGUGCAUGUUGCCAUCCAAAAUAUGUAAAAUACACAAGAGUGCCAUUGAGAAAAGAAUGUAUUGAUAAGAAAUUUAUUGAAUCAUCAUUUGUGAGAUGGCACUUUAUUUUAAUUGUCACAAUAGGGAAUCUUUUAUCAACUAAGCAAAUCACCUUACAUUAGCAUUCCAUAGAGAACCAGUCCUCACAUUUUCACUGGUGCUUUGUUGUCCUUUAUUUAAUUCUACCAUGCAGAUUUCAACUAUGGAAGACACCCAAAAAUCCUUAUGUUGAGGUUAUUCUGAUGUGGCUGAACUGUGUAUUCCAAUAUGAAUUGAAACAUUUGUGUCAGUGGCUGUGACUAUUGCCAAAUGUAGGCUAAGACAUUAUAUAGCAUAAUAGACUAAGCAAAGCAUAUGUAAUAUAAGCCUUUCAAGUCAUGCAAAUCUUUACUUGACCUCAAAUGUUUAAAAAAAAAGGUCAAAAUUAGUCCCUACAGCAUUCCAAGAUGCAUCAGGCUUUGCCUGCUGUUUAUUCAUAAUUGUACUUUGUGAAAUAUUAAAUAUGAAUAUGCCAAGUUAGAAAGUGCAGUUAUGUCAUUUAUUAUCGCUCGAAUUCACCGAUGUCUUCUACUGAUUUCCAAAGCUAGUCAGUCUUACUGAAAUUUUGCUUGUAUGUUUUUCUGUUCCAAAGUAAAAAGUCAACCGUUGUCACAAUAAUGAUUUUGUUCUUGUAUUGCAACUUUGCAAGAGUUCAUUUUAUUGUUUUGUGGAUACUAAGGAAAAAAUUCCUCCUAUUAAUUUAUACAGAAUGGAAUUAUUUCUUUAAUAUUCAAUCAUUUGUUCUUCUGGAG
Molecule: long non-coding RNA, 1748 nt
Filed under: Androctonus crassicauda
Lineage: Eukaryota; Metazoa; Arthropoda; Arachnida; Scorpiones; Buthidae
Source: RNAcentral